Molecule: ribosomal RNA, 471 nt
Filed under: Pseudomonas sp. SCB24
Lineage: Bacteria; Pseudomonadati; Pseudomonadota; Gammaproteobacteria; Pseudomonadales; Pseudomonadaceae
Description: bacterial SSU rRNA
Rfam family: Bacterial small subunit ribosomal RNA
Source: RNAcentral
UGGCGGCAGGCCUAACACAUGCAAGUCGAGCGGAUGAAGAGAGCUUGCUCUCUGAUUCAGCGGCGGACGGGUGAGUAAUGCCUAGGAAUCUGCCUGAUAGUGGGGGACAACGUUUCGAAAGGAACGCUAAUACCGCAUACGUCCUACGGGAGAAAGCAGGGGACCUUCGGGCCUUGCGCUAUCAGAUGAGCCUAGGUCGGAUUAGCUAGUUGGUGAGGUAAUGGCUCACCAAGGCGACGAUCCGUAACUGGUCUGAGAGGAUGAUCAGUCACACUGGAACUGAGACACGGUCCAGACUCCUACGGGAGGCAGCAGUGGGGAAUAUUGGACAAUGGGCGAAAGCCUGAUCCAGCCAUGCCGCGUGUGUGAAGAAGGUCUUCGGAUUGUAAAGCACUUUAAGUUGGGAGGAAGGGCAUUAACCUAAUACGUUAGUGUUUUGACGUUACCGACAGAAUAAGCACCGGCUAACUU